RNAcentral lists this ribosomal RNA (470 nucleotides) under uncultured bacterium. RNAcentral describes it as "bacterial SSU rRNA". It matches the Rfam family "Bacterial small subunit ribosomal RNA", at positions 372 to 832 of the family's 1533-position model. The record is from RNAcentral.
UGCCCGAAAGGGUGACGAAGCGACGCCGCGUGAGCGAAGAAGGCCCUAGGGUUGUAAAGCUCUGUCAGGGGUUAAGAAAUGCAGGCAGGUUAAUACCCUGUUUGUUUGACAAAGGCCCCAAAGGAAGCCACGGCUAACUCUGUGCCAGCAGCCGCGGUAAUACAGAGGUGGCGAGCGUUGUUCGGUAUUAUUGGGCGUAAAGAGCACGUAGGUGGUUUUGUAAGUCAGAUGUGAAAGCCUUCUGUUCAAAGGAAGAACGGCAUCUGAAACUGCUGAUCUUGAGUGUAGGAGGGGAGAGUGGAACUUCUGGUGGAGCGGUGAAAUGCGUAGAUAUCAGAAGGAACGUCGGCGGCGAAAGCGACUCUCUGGCCUAUUACUGACACUGAGUGUGCGAAAGUUAGGGGAGCAAACGGGAUUAGAUACCCCGGUAGUCCUAACCGUAAACGAUGGGCACUAAGUAGAGGGGUUUU